Molecule: non-coding RNA, 46 nt
Filed under: Trichobilharzia regenti
Lineage: Eukaryota; Metazoa; Platyhelminthes; Trematoda; Strigeidida; Schistosomatidae
Source: RNAcentral
GUAGUGCUGAAGAGUCCCAAACUAGGACGAAACAGCUGUCCAGUGC